AGUGAACGCUGGCGGUAGGCCUAACACAUGCAAGUCGAACGGCAGCACAGUAAGAGCUUGCUCUUACGGGUGGCGAGUGGCGGACGAGUGAGGAAUACAUCGGAAUCUACUUUUUCGUGGGGGAUAACGUAGGGAAACUUACGCUAAUACCGCAUACGACCUACGGGUGAAAGCAGGGGAUCUUCGGACCUUGCGCGAUUGAAUGAGCCGAUGUCGGAUUAGUUAGUUGGCGGGGUAAAGGCCCACCAAGGCGACGAUCCGUAGCUGGUCUGAGAGGAUGAUCAGCCACACUGGAACUGAGACACGGUCCAGACUCCUACGGGAGGCAGCAGUGGGGAAUAUUGGACAAUGGGCGCAAGCCUGAUCCAGCCAUGCCGCGUGGGUGAAGAAGGCCUUCGGGUUGUAAAGCCCUUUUGUUGGGAAAGAAAAGCAGCAGGUUAAUACCCCGCUGUUCUGACGGUACCCAAAGAAUAAGCACCGGCUAACUUCGUG
This 492-nucleotide ribosomal RNA is filed under the name uncultured bacterium. Its description in RNAcentral is "partial 16S ribosomal RNA". It matches the Rfam family "Bacterial small subunit ribosomal RNA", at positions 29 to 507 of the family's 1533-position model. The record is from RNAcentral.